RNAcentral lists this ribosomal RNA (252 nucleotides) under Massiliimicrobium timonense. RNAcentral describes it as "Massilimicrobiota timonensis partial 16S ribosomal RNA". It matches the Rfam family "Bacterial small subunit ribosomal RNA", at positions 524 to 776 of the family's 1533-position model. Lineage: Bacteria; Bacillati; Bacillota; Erysipelotrichia; Erysipelotrichales; Erysipelotrichaceae. RNAcentral also lists the same sequence under 1 other name. The record is from RNAcentral.
UACGUAGGUGGCGAGCGUUAUCCGGAAUCAUUGGGCGUAAAGAGGGAGCAGGCGGCAGUGCAGGUCUGCGGUGAAAGCCCGAAGCUAAACUUCGGUAAGCCGUGGAAACCGCACAGCUAGAGAGCAUCAGAGGAUCGCGGAAUUCCAUGUGUAGCGGUGAAAUGCGUAGAUAUAUGGAGGAACACCAGUGGCGAAGGCGGCGGUCUGGGGUGCAGCUGACGCUCAGUCCCGAAAGCGUGGGGAGCAAAUAGG